CUGGAAUGCGUGUGUACCCAGCGGCCUUCUCCUUUUUCCAUAUUUAGUCUCCCCCGCCCCUCUCAUGGCAAAUUGUGUAAGUGGUUUUGAUUUAUGCCUCCUUCGCCUUUCCUACUAGGAAGCUCUGAGGUGAUUUAUGGACUCUCGGGAAUUGCAUGCAGCUUAAGUCAGGAACGCGUGUCUGAAUUCAUCCUCCUUAUAUCUGGUACCAGCAGAGGACAGGGUACAGGUGACCGGUAAACAAGUACCCCUAAGGUCACGGGGUAACAGGGCUCUGCUCAGUGUGUGGCCGGGUUUGCUUCCUCUCAUGGCUUUUCUGCUUUAUCAUUCAGGUAGCAGCCAGUGGAUUGUACAGGAAACGGGGUACGAAGUACGGCUUCCAUACAGGGCCAUUCCUAGUAUGAAGUGCCCAGGGCUCUGGAGUGUGAGAGUGGAGAAAGGCCGGUGCAGCGCCAGGAGCAUGCUGGGGACAUGGCUGGUACUCAUGACCUGGCAGCAGACGGAUGCUGUACAGUGAUGCCCGGAGCAUUAGACAUGUGCGGCUGGGAGCCCACGACCCACCGUCCCCUCUGUCUCGGCCCCUCCUAAGGAGGAGGCUAAGUUCUCAGGGCCACGCCUCCUGCCCCUUGCUUCCCAGUAAUUAGGAUGUCAGAGAAGGUUUGCUGGAGACCAAUGGGAGAAUCUUUAAUUAAAUACCCUGGGGGAGGGGGAGGCCUCUGCUAAGGCCUGGGUAUCUGAACAGCUGUGAAACUCGAGUGUCGAAAACCCAGAUACCCAGAUCACAAGAGAUGGUAUACGGAGGUGGGGCUGGGAAUAGAGGAGUUUCAGGGGCGAGCCCAGAGUAGAGUCCAUAGGUCUGUCUGUAAGAGUAGGGUGAAGGAAGGCCUUGAGUGGGCCUGCUGCUAGCUCAUAGUCCAAGGCCCCCAGGCUAUUCUCUGACACUACGCAAGGCCCAACCGGUACACAGGAAGUGCCACCUGCUCAUGUCCUUCCAAGAGCAAAGUGACUUUGUCUUUAACAGCCAUUCAGUCUUCUGUGAUAGGUUAUAGCCACAGGAAAUGGAUAGAAUCUCAGGUCACUGAGCCAGGUCCUUGGGGACAUAGCCUCUUUCCCUGCUAGCUGUUGGUCAGUGGGUCUUCCCUCUUGGAUGUGAAAUCACCCCAGUCAAGCUGGCACAGAGAGGUGUGCUGUCCUGCGGUGGCUGCUCUGAGACCUGUACACGAGACCACAGGCAUCAUCAUCAUCAUCAUCAUCAUCAUCAUCAUCAUCAUCAUCCCCCUGACGUUUCCUGAGAAAGCUGGAAAUGGUGUUGUAUGCCCCAGCGCGCAGGAGGCCAAGGCAGAAGGCUGUGUGUGAGUCCAAGGCCAGCCUCAAAAUACAUAGUGAGUUCCCUGACUCAAAAGAACACGUGUCAGGGGAGAAAGCUACACACUGACAAACACUGUGUUCAGACUCACUGUGCCUAAGACUCGGAAGCUCAAUGCAUCCCUCCCACGCUGUCUUGCCAGUUUACUGGUUCAAGUCCCAUGCAGACUCCCUCACUUGGCUUCAUACGCCUGUUGGUCUCACCAGGAGACUGGAGAUCUAAAUGGGCAUCACCAGGCAUGUCCCCUCUCUUUCCAGG
This 1624-nucleotide long non-coding RNA is filed under the name Rattus norvegicus (Norway rat). Its description in RNAcentral is "long non-coding RNA NONRATT032541". The record is from RNAcentral. Lineage: Eukaryota; Metazoa; Chordata; Mammalia; Rodentia; Muridae.